Molecule: ribosomal RNA, 355 nt
Filed under: uncultured soil bacterium
Lineage: Bacteria
Description: bacterial SSU rRNA
Rfam family: Bacterial small subunit ribosomal RNA
Source: RNAcentral
GGGAUGAACGCUGGCGGCGUGCCUAAUACAUGCAAGUCGAGCGCCCCUUUAAGAGGUGACAAUCAAUGAUUGUCGGUUCCUAUGGGGGAGCGGCGGACGGCUGAGUAACGCGUGGGAACGUGCCCCAAAGUGAGGGAUAAGCACCGGAAACGGUGUCUAAUACUGCAUAUGAUCUUCGGAUUAAAGCUUUAUGCGUCGUUUGGGAGCGGCCUGCGUCCUAUUAGAUAGUUGGUGAGGUAAGGCUCACCAAGUCAACGAGUGGGUAGCUGGUCUAGAGAGGAUGGCCAGCCAGACUGGAACUGAGACACGGUCCAGACCGUCCGUAACGGGAGCAGCAGGUAAGGAAUCUACCAAC